RNAcentral lists this non-coding RNA (31 nucleotides) under Mus musculus (house mouse). The record is from RNAcentral. Lineage: Eukaryota; Metazoa; Chordata; Mammalia; Rodentia; Muridae.
UCCCUUGCUGAAUACAGUGACCCUACACCCC